CCGCACGGGUGAGUAACACGUAUCCAACCUGCCGUCUACUCUUGGACAGCCUUCUGAAAGGAAGAUUAAUACAAGAUGGCAUCAUGAGUCCGCAUGUUCACAUGAUUAAAGGUAUUCCGGUAGACGAUGGGGAUGCGUUCCAUUAGAUAGUAGGCGGGGUAACGGCCCACCUAGUCUUCGAUGGAUAGGGGUCUGAGAGGAAGGUCCCCCACAUUGGAACUGAGACACGGUCCAA
RNAcentral lists this ribosomal RNA (235 nucleotides) under uncultured bacterium. Its description in RNAcentral is "partial 16S ribosomal RNA". It matches the Rfam family "Bacterial small subunit ribosomal RNA", at positions 98 to 334 of the family's 1533-position model. The record is from RNAcentral.